ACGGAGGAUCCGAGCGUUAUCCGGAUUUAUUGGGUUUAAAGGGAGCGUAGGUGGAUUGUUAAGUCAGUUGUGAAAGUUUGCGGCUCAACCGUAAAAUUGCAGUUGAAACUGGCAGUCUUGAGUACAGUAAAGGUGGGCGGAAUUCGUGGUGUAGCGGUGAAAUGCUUAGAUAUCACGAAGAACUCCGAUUGCGAAGGCAGCUCACCGGACUGCAACUGACACUGAUGCUCGAAAGUGUGGGUAUCAAACAGGAUUAGAUACCCUGGUAGUCCACACAGUAAACGAUGAAUACUCGCUGUUUGCGAUAUACCGUAAGCGGCCAAGCGAAAGCAUUAAGUAUUCCACCUGGGGAGUACGCCGGCAACGGUG
RNAcentral lists this ribosomal RNA (369 nucleotides) under uncultured bacterium. RNAcentral describes it as "bacterial SSU rRNA". It matches the Rfam family "Bacterial small subunit ribosomal RNA", at positions 525 to 896 of the family's 1533-position model. The record is from RNAcentral.